This is a long non-coding RNA of Ipomoea triloba (trilobed morning glory), 884 nucleotides long. RefSeq lists it as uncharacterized. The transcript is spliced from 2 exons. The record is from RefSeq and is a predicted model, not a curated record. NCBI's taxonomy places the organism in Eukaryota, Viridiplantae, Streptophyta, Magnoliopsida, Solanales, Convolvulaceae.
AUCUAUCUUCCUUCAUAUAUGGACUAUAGUAUUGACAGAUUAAAUUUUCUUUUCCUUCUGCUUUGUUAGAGUUGUGUUCAAGUCUCAUAUAAUCUUUUGUUUUAGUUAAAGAAUUGGGGAGAUGUUGAAGUAGCCUCCUUCCCAACUGCAAUAAAUCUGCAAGUAAUCAAACUGCAUGCUUUAGAGUUUGCCUAUGAAAAGCAGCUCAAGGUGUUUUGCAGUUGCUUCAAAAAUCUCCCAAUUUAUGUGAACUGGACAUUACAGGAUGUGAUGAACUAGAAGAUGAUGGCAUGGAUAAUGAUAUCAUGGAAGAUUAUGACAUAGAAGCUGCUUCAAGACUUUUGAAGGAUCCAGAAAGUUGCAUUAUUAAUCAGGAUCUAAAAGUGCUUAAAACAAUCAAGUUUAAAAUGUUUUGUGGAUCCACAAUUGAAAUGCUUCUUGUGAAAAUGUUGCUCUCAAAAUCUCCUAUACUAGAGAGAGUUGUUAUUACCGAAUCUGAUUAUAUAGAAGAUGGUUUCACGGUGAUCAAGUUCCUAAGGGAGUUGCUGUGCUUCCCUCGUGCAUCUCCAAAGGCACAAAUUGCCAUCAAGGGCAAAGACCCAUCAAGGGCAAAGAUUAUGUUUUAAGGACUGGUUGGUUUUGCCAUACUUCAGUUUGUAUGCAACUUAGAAAUGUAAGCAAUGGUGAUGGUGGAACUUGAAAUCUUUUGUUAGAUAAGGAUGGCACCUUAGAUUGUUUUCUAAGUUGUUCAGUAGACUCCAUGAAUAUCUUUUUUUAAAUUUUUGUUUCUGUUAAUUCACUUAAUUGCAUUAAAUUUUAUUUCAGAUGGUGUGAUGUUGAUGCUUAUUGCUUAGCCAAGUGUUUCUUAGGACUGAAAUGUAAUG